Molecule: ribosomal RNA, 505 nt
Filed under: uncultured bacterium
Lineage: Bacteria
Description: bacterial SSU rRNA
Rfam family: Bacterial small subunit ribosomal RNA
Source: RNAcentral
GAUGAACGCUAGCGGCAGGCUUAACACAUGCAAGUCGAGGGGCAGCACGUCUUCGGAUGGUGGCGACCGGCGCACGGGUGAGUAACGCGUAUGCAAUCUACCUUUUACAGGGGCAUAGCCCGGGGAAACUCGGAUUAAUAUCCUAUAGUACCAUUAUAUAGCAUUAUAUUAUGGUUAAAGUUUCGGCGGUAAAAGAUGAGCAUGCGUCCUAUUAGCUUGAUGGUAAGGUAACGGCUUACCAUGGCUAUGAUAGGUAGGGGUCCUGAGAGGGAGACCCCCCACACUGGUACUGAGACACGGACCAGACUCCUACGGGAGGCAGCAGUGAGGAAUAUUGGACAAUGGGCGCAAGCCUGAUCCAGCCAUGCCGCGUGCAGGAAGACGGCCCUAUGGGUUGUAAACUGCUUUUAUACGGGAAGAAACACCCCUUCGUGAAGGGACUUGACGGUACCGUAUGAAUAAGGAUCGGCUAACUCCGUGCCAGCAGCCGCGGUAAUACGGAGGA